Molecule: long non-coding RNA, 916 nt
Filed under: Helianthus annuus (common sunflower)
Lineage: Eukaryota; Viridiplantae; Streptophyta; Magnoliopsida; Asterales; Asteraceae
Description: hypothetical non coding rna
Source: RNAcentral
UCAUUGAUUAUCAUUCAAAGUCGCAACCAUUGAUUAUCAUCCACUCGCAACCUCCGAUUUCGGUUCAUCACGUUUUGAGUCGCAAUCAGAAUUGAGGAGUCGCAACCAUCUCGAUUACGAGUCGCAACCACCUGCAACUCAUCAUCUCGAUUACAGAUCACAGGUUAUCUCCGUCCGACUCCGACCUUCACCGUAACAACUCCGUUCAUCAUCAACUGUCCGACAAUCACCACCGAUCUCGCAUAUCCAACUCGCACAACCAUCUUGUCACGUCCGACGUCCGACGUCUACUGUUCACGUCAAUUGCCAUCAUCUUCUUCGUCUCCGGUUGUCUUCAUCACCAUCACCAUUAACAGUCGAGACGUUUUGUCGGGUUUAAGUGAUAGUCAUCAGUUCACGUUUUGUCGGGUUUAAGUGAUAGUCAUCAGAGCAUCAUCAUCGUGAACCUCCUUCGUUCAUCCAUUCAUCUGCCGUCACUUCCGACACCGUCAACCUCUCCGAUUCGUUGACGUUCAUCGUUUUCAUCUUCAACAACCUCGACCAUCAUCUCCUAACCAGUCGCCAUAACCGUCGCCACCCACCAUAACCAGUUGCCACCGCCACCUCCUCCGUUCACUACAGUUGCCGUCGACCUUAUUUCAUUGCCGUCGACCUUAUUUCAUUGCCGCCACCUACUCCGUUCACUACAGUUGCCACCUCCUCCGUUCACUACAGUUGCCACCUUCACUACAGUUGCCGUCGACCUUAUUUCAUUGGCGGCUGGACUGUUGUCGGCUAAAUCAAGAUUUAGGGUUUCGGGGAUUUGUUAUGUUACGGAGAAGAAGACGACAGGAUUUAUUAUUUGUCGUAAUCAUUGUUAAUCAUUAGAUAAUCAUUGUUUUUAAUAAAUAAUAAUUAUAAUAAUAAUAAUAUUUGU